Molecule: long non-coding RNA, 820 nt
Organism: Cornus florida
Lineage: Eukaryota; Viridiplantae; Streptophyta; Magnoliopsida; Cornales; Cornaceae
Exons: 2
Source: RefSeq, a predicted model, not a curated record
AGUAAGAAAAAAAAAGGAUGUCCUGUAAACAUUACAAGUGGUCUGUGGUUGAGUGCCCUAAGUUAAAGCGGUUUGCAAUUAGAAUUCAUUUGGUGAUGAGUGCCCCGAGUUAAAGCGGUUUGCAAUUAGAAUAUUGAGUUUAACAUGUAGCUCUUCGGGAUGUGAAAGGAACUGGAGUGCCUUUGAGAUGGUAAAUUAUCGAAUAAUGCAUAGUUCCAAAAUUUUAAUAAUGUCACAGUUUAAUUUUAAGUUUUAACCUCAUUGGCAAUAUAUUUAGGUGCAUUCAAAAAGGAAAAACCGGUUGCAACAAAAAAAACUGAAUGAUUUGGUAUUUGUUAUGUAUAACAUAAAAUUGAGGGAGAGGCACGUGAAAAGACAAGCUGUCGUAGAACCAAUUUGUUUCUUCCGAUGUUUCUUUCGAUGAUGAAUGGAUUAUCGAAAAAGAGGAUCCGAUUCUUCCAACAAAAACUAAAUGGUUGAGGGUUCUUGAUGACAAAGUUCAAGAAGAUGAUACCGAUGAAGAAAAUGAAGUAAAAAGGAUGACUAGGACACUUGAGGAAAUUUAUGCAAUUGAUGAUAAUGAAGACAUGGAGCCAUUAAAUCCCGUUGAUGAUGCUAAUGAGGAAGAUGGUGAUGAUGAAGAGUUCAAUGAUGACUUUAUGGAUAUGUAAUUUUAGUUUCUAACUUUAGAGAUGGAUGAGUUAGAACUGUAUGUUAUUUUGAGCUACAUUCUCUUUUAUUUAUAUUCGGACUUUGGAAUAUUGUUAGGAUUUGAGAUUUAUGGACUCAUGGAUAUGUAAUAUUGUGUGUUUUGGCCUUA